CCUACGGGGGGCAGCAGUGAGGAAUAUUGGUCAAUGGACGAGAGUCUGAACCAGCCAAGUAGCGUGAAGGAUGACUGCCCUAUGGGUUGUAAACUUCUUUUAUAUGGGAAUAAAAUGUUCCACGUGUGGGAUUUUGUACGUACCAUAUGAAUAAGGAUCGGCUAACUCCGUGCCAGCAGCCGCGGUAAUACGGAGGAUCCGAGCGUUAUCCGGAUUUAUUGGGUUUAAAGGGAGCGUAGGUGGAUUGUUAAGUCAGUUGUGAAAGUUUGCGGCUCAACCGUAAAAUUGCAGUUGAAACUGGCAGUCUUGAGUACAGUAGAGGUGGGCGGAAUUCGUGGUGUAGCGGUGAAAUGCUUAGAUAUCACGAAGAACUCCGAUUGCGAAGGCAGUUCACUGGACUGCAACUGACACUGAGGCUCGAAAGUGUGAGUAUCAAACAGGAUUAGAUACCCCAGUAGUC
This 460-nucleotide ribosomal RNA is filed under the name uncultured bacterium. RNAcentral's name for it is "partial 16S ribosomal RNA". It matches the Rfam family "Bacterial small subunit ribosomal RNA", at positions 338 to 795 of the family's 1533-position model. The record is from RNAcentral.